Molecule: non-coding RNA, 232 nt
Organism: Pelobates cultripes (western spadefoot toad)
Lineage: Eukaryota; Metazoa; Chordata; Amphibia; Anura; Pelobatidae
Source: the annotation of a GenBank genome assembly
GCUGUAACUACAAUGGAUCAGGUACUUCAAGCAUCAUCACUUCCCUCAUCCAUGUCUGCCCAAGAAGCUGAACUGAAGGCUCUCACCACAGCAUGCAAAAUGUCUGAAGGAAAACGUGCCAAUAUCUACACUGAUUCAAGAUAUGCCUUAGGCGUGGCACAUGACUUUGGAUUAAUCUGGACGACAAGGGGUUUCCUUACAGCAACGGGUACACCAGUCAAACAUGGUACAG